This 491-nucleotide ribosomal RNA is filed under the name uncultured bacterium. RNAcentral's name for it is "partial 16S ribosomal RNA". It matches the Rfam family "Bacterial small subunit ribosomal RNA", at positions 29 to 507 of the family's 1533-position model. The record is from RNAcentral.
UUGCACGCUGGCGGCAUGCUUUACACCUGCAAGUCGCACGGUAACAGGCCUUCGGGUGCUGACGAGUGGCGAACGGGUGAGUAAUGCAUCGGAACGUACCCAGAGGUGGGGGAUAACGCAGCGAAAGCUGUGCUAAUACCGCAUGUGAUCUGAGGAUGAAAGCGGGGGACCGAGCAGCAAUGUUUGGCCUCGCGCCUUUGGAGCGGCCGAUGUCGGAUUAGCUAGUUGGUGGGGUAAAGGCCUACCAAGGCGACGAUCCGUAGCUGGUCUGAGAGGACGACCAGCCACACUGGGACUGAGACACGGCCCAGACUCCUACGGGAGGCAGCAGUGGGGAAUGUUGGACAAUGGGCGCGAGCCUGAUCCAGCAAUGCCGCGUGCGGGAAGAAGGCCUUCGGGUUGUAAACCGCUUUUGGCAGGAACGAAACGGUGUCCGCUAAUACCGGGCGCUAAUGACGGUACCUGCAGAAUAAGCACCGGCUAACUACGUG